UCAGCGGUACACUUUCCCUGACUGUGUUGUUGUGCAAUUUUUUGAGAUUUAUUUUUUCUCGUGGUUAAAAGUAUUUUAAGAUGGAAACGAUCAAUUUAGAUGGUCCCAAUAGCGUUAAGCCUUUGCCCCAAAGACAGCAGAGAGGCAACCAACCGGCCAAUAAAGGCAAUAUUGGCAAGCACGCGGCUCCUAAACAAAAUGUUGGCCCCGAUGGCAGUCCAGCCGAAAAGAAGGCACGAUUCGGUGGCUUGAACAACCAAAAUGGCCGCCCCGCCGGUGGCGUCGCUGCCGGUGGCCAGAAUCAGAAAAAGAAUUUCGGAAAUAAGGAUGGAUUCGGCGGCAAUCGCAAUCGCCGUGGAGGAAACCAAAAUAGACAAAAUGUUCAGGGUCCGAAUAACGCAAACCAAAAGUCUACUACUAAUGAAGCAGCGAAGCCGGAAGCCGGAAAUGUCGCUGAGAAUGUUAAUGAAUCUGUGGCUGCAAUUCAGCAGCCAGCCCCCAAUGCAAACCAAGGUCCAGGGCAGGUUCAAGGACAAGGGCAAGGUGGUUUCCGCGGUGGUCCUCGCGGUGGCGGCCUCGGCGUCGGUGGCAAUAACCAAGCAGGUGGCGGCAACCAUCCAGGAGGUGGUAACAAUCAUCCAGGAGUUGGUAACAAUCAACCAGGAGGAGGUAACAAUCAUCCAGGAGUUGGUGGCAAUCAUCCAGGAGGAGGUUACAAUCAUCCAGGAGUCGGUGGCAAUCAUCCAGGAGUUGGUGGCAAUCACCAGGGAGGCGGAGGUGUACGCGCCCAGCAACAGCAGCGUGAUCGCGGCAAUCGCGGUGGCGGCGGUCAACGGUCGGGCGGUGGUCAAGGGGGGCCCAACAUGAGCAUGAUGGGCGGUAUAGGUGGCGGUCCACGCGGUGGUGGUGGCGGCGGGGAUGAUUUCUUUAUUGCCCAACGUCUGCGGGCCAUUGCUGGACCCACACUGGAGCUGCCACCCGUGGAGGUGCCCGAGGAGACCAAAUUCUCUGGCCGCAAUCGUCUGUAUGUGGGCAAUCUCACCGGCGACAUCACCGACAAUGAGCUGCGCGAAAUGUUCAAGCCCUAUGGGGAGAUUGGCGAAAUCUUCUCCAACAUUGAGAAGAACUUCACAUUCCUUAAGGUCGAUUACCAUGUGAAUGCUGAGAAAGCCAAGCGCGCCUUGGACGGUACCAUGCGCAAGGGUCGCCAGCUACGCGUCCGUUUCGCACCCAAUGCAACCAUCUUGCGCGUCAGGAACCUCACACCGUUCGUGUCCAACGAGUUGUUGUACAAAUCGUUCGAGAUAUUCGGCCCCAUCGAACGGGCCAGCAUAACAGUCGACGAUCGCGGCAAGCAUACGGGCGAGGGUAUCGUUGAGUUCGCCAAGAAGUCCUCGGCCAACGCCUGUCUGCGUUUCUGCAAUGAGAAGUGCUUCUUUUUGACGGCCUCACUGCGCCCCUGCCUGGUGGAGCCCAUGGAGGUGAAUGACGACAAUGAUGGGCUGCCCGAAAAGGCCCUCAACAAGAAGCUACAGGACUUCAAUCAGGAGCGCAGCGUCGGCCCGCGCUUCGCAGAUCUCAAUUCGUUUGAGCACGAGUACGGCUCCCGCUGGAAGCAGCUGCACGAUCUGUACAAGAGCAAGCAGGAUACCCUAAAGCGUGAGCUCAAAAUGGAAGAGGAAAAGCUGGAUGCUCAGAUGCAGAACGCUCGAUAUGAGCAAGAGACUGAGCUCCUGCGUCAAGAGCUGAGAAAGCGCGAAGUGGACAAUGAGCGCAAGAAGAUAGAAUGGGAAAUGCGCGAGAAGCAGGCCGAGGAAAUGCGCAAGCGCGACGAGGACACUUUGCGUCGCCAUCAGACCGAGAUGCAGACACGCAUGGCGCGUCAGGAGGAGGAUAUGCGCCGACGCCAGCAGGAGAACACAUUGUUCAUACAGGCACAGCAACUGAAUUCGCUGCUCGACCAGCAGGAGGGCUUCGUCGGCAAUGGCGGUAGCGGCAACAACGCCAGCUUCGACAACUUUGGAGGCAACAGCAAUUCUCCCUUUGAAGUUUUUAGAGGAAACAAUAACAACUCAACCAUGACUGGAAAUAGCUCUGGCCCGGGCGGACCCAACAAACAGAUUUACCAAGUCCAAGCACACAACUCCAGAGUUUGAAUAUUUGGAAUGAUUCCAGACAAGCCAGAAGGCCAGCAGAAGCAGCAGCAAUCAAGAGAUUUCUGAUUUACUUCUCCUCGAACCUAUCCAAGGGCAAGCAACAACUAUGGGAAGUGUAUUCGGCUUGGAUGCUGCUGGUUAAACCACACGAUACCUACGAUUGGUUUAAAUGUGGAGACUGUAGAAUACAAGAAUAUGAGAUUUACAGUGUGGGAUGUGGGCGGUUGAGAGCCAUUGCAUAGGCAUUACUUUGCGAAUGCACAGGCUCUUAUCUUCGUCGUGGAAAGCAACGACAGAGAGCGUGUCGAUGAGGCGAGAGAGGACUUAAUGCGCAUCCGAAAGAGCUCCGAGUUCUACUUGUAUUCGCCAACAAAAAGGUGCGACGAAGCGAAGGUAUACGGUAUACGCUGAUAAGGCAAUUCCAAACAUAUGCCGAUGGGUGUCGGGCAUAGACCUAUGAUUGUGAUUAUUACUAUGAUUAUUCAAAGAGGAUCUGCCAAAUGCAAUGAAUGCUGCUGAAAUUACGGUUUACAACUGGUACACCCAAUCAACGUGUGCAACUAGCGGCGAUGGCCUCUACGAAGGAAAACCCACAUCAAAGUCGGAAACACCAACAGACAUACAAACAGACAAAGGAAAACGGUGAAAAUCUUCAGCAACAACAAUAGCAGAUCUUUGCACAGUUAAAGAGGCUUAUCCUUCCUUUUCGUUUAGAAAACAAGAAAUUUAAACUGUGUAAUGAAUUUAAAAUGAAACGAUUAUAAGCAGGGACCGUAAAUAAUCAUUAUUUUUUUUUUUUUUAUAAAAAAAUCUCUUAUUUUUAAUGGACCUACAAAAACACUAUUUACACCAAAAUCUUUAUUUUUGUACAAUCUCUGCAUUGCCGCCAUGAUUUGCAAACUUUUGAUUUUUUACGAUUUUCUUCACAGAUAAUCAUUAUUUUUGUGUAAUUUGAUAAAACUUAGGAUUAAUCAUUAUUCUUGAUCAAAAAAAA
Drosophila miranda is the source of this 3150-nucleotide RNA transcript. It is a transcript of the gene named protein no-on-transient A-like, with no coding region annotated. The record is from RefSeq and is a predicted model, not a curated record. The transcript is spliced from 8 exons. Lineage: Eukaryota; Metazoa; Arthropoda; Insecta; Diptera; Drosophilidae.